CACUGAAUCACUUGCCGUUGCGGCAACGGGAGCUGUAGUGUUUGGGACGGCCUCUGCGCGGUGCACGGCGAUUCGAAGUUCGCUUGAAGGCGGCUUACUGGGCCUCUUUCGAGGCCUUGCCAGAGAGGGUGUCAGACCCGUGUGGAACGUCGUGCUCGUUGCGCUUUGGUCUCGUCUCCAGAGUCGGGUUGUUUGGGAAUGCAGCCCAAAUGGGGUGGUAAACUCCAUCCAAGGCUAAAUAUGCUCGCGAGUCCGAUAGCGGACCAAGUACCGCGAGGGAAAGUUGAAAAGAACUUUGAAGAGAGAGUUCAAGAGUACGUGAAACCGCUGAGAGGCAAACGGAUGGGAUCGCAAUUGCUCCCGGUGAGAUUCAGCUUUCGUUCGGUGGGUUCAAGUCUGGCCGUCGUCUUCUCGGUGAAGAAGCCUCUUGCGGGGUGGAUCGCGAGUGGACGCGGUCGGAUUGGCCGAUCGAUUUUGAGAGUGCACUUCUCCCGGGGGAACGUCACGAUCGGUUCUCGGCCUGUUGUGAACCGACUGGCAAGGUCUUCUGGCAUGCACCCUCAGGUGGAGGGGCCCAGAAACUAACAUGGCACGGUCGCUCGUUCGACCAGGCUGAUGGACUGAGGUGACCGAGCGGUGUGCAUGAUGUCCGCCCCAGUGGUCGAGUGCGUUGCCGUCGUGUAUCGUCGUGGACUGUUCGCAGUGCCCGGCGACCGCGGCUCGUGCGAGUGGCUGCUGGGAGGCUUAGCACGUGAUGCUCACGAAUGGUGGUCAGUGGCUGUUUGGCAGACAACCCAUCCGACCCGUCUUGAAACACGGACCAAGGAGUCUAACAUGUGCGCGAGUCAUUGUACUCGACUAGAUACACAGGCGCAAUGAAGGUGAACGCAGGUCUGACUCGAGGGGGAGUUCUUCUCUUCGUGGCAAGACCGGCCCGUCCCAUAUCGCGUGCGUCGAUGUGGAUGGAGCAAGAGCGCAAAUGUUGGUACCCGAAAGAUGGUGAACUAUGCCCG
RNAcentral lists this ribosomal RNA (1013 nucleotides) under Bonelliinae sp. Ech25. RNAcentral's name for it is "partial 28S rRNA". It matches the Rfam family "Eukaryotic large subunit ribosomal RNA", at positions 112 to 839 of the family's 3401-position model. The record is from RNAcentral. Lineage: Eukaryota; Metazoa; Annelida; Polychaeta; Echiuroidea; Bonelliidae.